CUGCAGGGAACCCUGUCCCUGCAAAGGUACCCCCAGCAAGCCCAGCAGCCUGGACAUCCCUCCAGCUGCAUCCACGCUGGACACCGGACUGACCCCUUGCACAGGAUGGCGGCAUCACCCAUUCUCAGAGGAAGGUAGGAGACUGUGCUGAAUGUCACCUCCAGGAGCUGUAGGAACAGUCCCUUGACAAGGUCCCAGUGUGCCUUUCUCUGGCCUCCUGGUGUCUGGCUGGGUGUGCUUGGAGAGCACAAACCCAUGCCCUUGUUUGUGGUUUCCUUCAGCUUUGCCCCAGGUUCCCGCAGACCGAGGGCACCACUCAGUCACCCCUGGCCCUUCAGUGCACUUGCAGAACUCACAGGGAAGGCCAGAGCUGCCACCAAGGAGGGAAGCAGAGCCCCGUGGCUGUGGGAAGGACUGACCCUUUGCAGGCUGACAACAUGGAAGGACCCUCCCCAGCUGGGCAAGCUUUGUGCAGCCCUGGUUUCUGUUGCACUCGGGGCAGCUCUUUCC
RNAcentral lists this long non-coding RNA (510 nucleotides) under Manacus vitellinus (golden-collared manakin). RNAcentral's name for it is "lncRNA (ENSMVIG00005007366.1)". Lineage: Eukaryota; Metazoa; Chordata; Aves; Passeriformes; Pipridae. The record is from RNAcentral.